This 492-nucleotide ribosomal RNA is filed under the name uncultured bacterium. Its description in RNAcentral is "partial 16S ribosomal RNA". It matches the Rfam family "Bacterial small subunit ribosomal RNA", at positions 29 to 507 of the family's 1533-position model. The record is from RNAcentral.
AGUGAACGCUGGCGGUAGGCCUAACACAUGCAAGUCGAACGGCAGCACAGUAAGAGCUUGCGCUUACGGGUGGCGAGUGGCGGACGGGUGAGGAAUACAUCGGAGUCUACUUUUUCGUGGGGGAUAACGUAGGGAAACUUACGCUAAUACCGCAUACGACCUACGGGUGAAAGCAGGGGAUCUUCGGACCUUGCGCGAUUGAAUGAGCCGAUGUCGGAUUAGCUAGUUGGCGGGGUAAAGGCCCACCAAGGCGACGAUCCGUAGCUGGUCUGAGAGGAUGAUCAGCCACACUGGAACUGAGACACGGUCCAGACUCCUACGGGAGGCAGCAGUGGGGAAUAUUGGACAAUGGGCGCAAGCCUGAUCCAGCCAUACCGCGUGGGUGAAGAAGGCCUUCGGGUUGUAAAGCCCUUUUGUUGGGAAAGAAAAGCAGCAGGUUAAUACCUCGCUGUUCUGACGGUACCCAAAGAAUAAGCACCGGCUAACUUCGUG